CCUACGGGAGGCUGCAGUGGGGAAUAUUGGACAAUGGGGGGAACCCUGAUCCAGCCAUGCCGCGUGUGUGAAGAAGGCCCUCGGGUUGUAAAGCACUUUCAGUGAGGAAGAACGCCUGGUGGUUAAUACCCAUCAGGAAAGACAUCACUCACAGAAGAAGCACCGGCUAACUCCGUGCCAGCAGCCGCGGUAAUACGGAGGGUGCGAGCGUUAAUCGGAAUUACUGGGCGUAAAGCGCGCGUAGGUGGCUUGAUAAGCCGGUUGUGAAAGCCCCGGGCUCAACCUGGGAACGGCAUCCGGACCUGUCAAGCUAGAGUGCAGGAGAGGAAGGUAGAAUUCCCGGUGUAGCGGUGAAAUGCGUAGAGUUCGGGAGGAAUACCAGUGGCGAAGGCGGCCUUCUGGACUGACACUGACACUGAGGUGCGAAAGCGUGGGUAGCAAACAGGAUUAGAUACCCGUGUAGUC
This 465-nucleotide ribosomal RNA is filed under the name Vreelandella stevensii. RNAcentral describes it as "partial 16S ribosomal RNA". It matches the Rfam family "Bacterial small subunit ribosomal RNA", at positions 338 to 795 of the family's 1533-position model. The record is from RNAcentral. Lineage: Bacteria; Pseudomonadati; Pseudomonadota; Gammaproteobacteria; Oceanospirillales; Halomonadaceae.